Molecule: ribosomal RNA, 540 nt
Filed under: uncultured Eurotiomycetes
Lineage: Eukaryota; Fungi; Ascomycota; Eurotiomycetes
Description: SSU rRNA
Rfam family: Eukaryotic small subunit ribosomal RNA
Source: RNAcentral
UGGGCAAGUCUGGUGCCAGCAGCCGCGGUAAUUCCAGCUCCAAUAGCGUAUAUUAAAGUUGUUGCAGUUAAAAAGCUCGUAGUUGAACCUUGGGUCUGGCUGGCCGGUCCGCCUCACCGCGAGUACUGGUCCGGCUGGACCUUUCCUUCUGGGGAACCUCAUGGCCUUCACUGGCUGUGGGGGGAACCAGGACUUUUACUGUGAAAAAAUUAGAGUGUUCAAAGCAGGCCUUUGCUCGAAUACAUUAGCAUGGAAUAAUAGAAUAGGACGUGCGGUUCUAUUUUGUUGGUUUCUAGGACCGCCGUAAUGAUUAAUAGGGAUAGUCGGGGGCGUCAGUAUUCAGCUGUCAGAGGUGAAAUUCUUGGAUUUGCUGAAGACUAACUACUGCGAAAGCAUUCGCCAAGGAUGUUUUCAUUAAUCAGGGAACGAAAGUUAGGGGAUCGAAGACGAUCAGAUACCGUCGUAGUCUUAACCAUAAACUAUGCCGACUAGGGAUCGGACGGGAUUCUAUAAUGACCCGUUCGGCGCCUUACGGGAAAC